UAUUAGACGUGUUAGGAAAGUCAAUACGAUUUUGACGCAUAUGUUAAAUACCAAUACCACUACAGGCUAUAGUGGGGACCAUCUCAAAAGGGACAAAUAAUCAUUCAUUAUAGUUACCUGUAUGGGUUUGUUUGAUAAUGCUGAGAUGAUUUUUAAACAAUAAAAUAAAUGUAGUAACGAUUCAUUCCGCAAUACAAGGACGAGGAUCCAGCAAAACAACA
RNAcentral lists this long non-coding RNA (221 nucleotides) under Mytilus galloprovincialis (Mediterranean mussel). The record is from RNAcentral. Lineage: Eukaryota; Metazoa; Mollusca; Bivalvia; Mytilida; Mytilidae.